RNAcentral lists this ribosomal RNA (490 nucleotides) under uncultured bacterium. RNAcentral's name for it is "bacterial SSU rRNA". It matches the Rfam family "Bacterial small subunit ribosomal RNA", at positions 28 to 519 of the family's 1533-position model. The record is from RNAcentral.
GAUGAACGCUAGCGGCAGGCUUAACACAUGCAAGUCGAGGGGUAUUGGUUUUCGGACCAAGAGACCGGCGCACGGGUGCGUAACGCGUAUGCAAUCUACCUUUUGCAGAGGGAUAGCCCCAGAGAAAUUUGGAUUAAUACCUCAUAGUAUAGUACUUUGGCAUCAAGGAACUAUUAAAGUCACAACGGCAAAGAUGAGCAUGCGUCCAUUAGCUAGUUGGUAAGGUAACGGCUUACCAAGGCUACGAUGGGUAGGGGUCCUGAGAGGGAGAUCCCCCACACUGGUACUGAGACACGGACCAGACUCCUACGGGAGGCAGCAGUGAGGAAUAUUGGACAAUGGGCGCAAGCCUGAUCCAGCCAUGCCGCGUGCAGGAUGACGGUCCUAUGGAUUGUAAACUGCUUUUAUACAGGAAGAAACACUCCGACGUGUCGGAGCUUGACGGUACUGUAAGAAUAAGGAUCGGCUAAACUCCGUGCCAGCAGCCGCG